AGAUUCCAUGUCUACCUUGAGAUGAAACUGGAGAGAGAAUGAGUGAAGGAGGAUCAUGCGUGAGGUUGAAUAAGCAUUUGUCUCUCACCUGCUUGAUGACCACUAAUAUAUAGCUUAUAUGUUUUACCUUGAGAUGAAAUUGUGGAGAGAAUGAAUAAAUCUGCCUCCAGUUUUACCUUGAUGUUUAUUACAGAGAUGAAUGAUUGGGGGGUGUCCAAACUUGGUCCCUGAGGGCUGGUGUCCUAAGUUUACUUCCAACCCCAAUCAGAUGCACCCGGGCUAGGGCAGCUCAUCCCCCAGAGACGUCUUUCUCCUACAAUGCCCUGACCCUGAGAUCUGUGUGGAAUUUUCUGUUGCUUUAUCAGUGUGGGCUUGGCCUUCUGACUGGGUGCUUUUUUUAUUUUCUCUCAGUCCUGCUCCUGGUACUGUUGCACCCUUAACCACAUUUGUUUAUUAUGAAAUGGAGUAAACCUACAGCUGUGGAAAAAUAAAAUAAUUUUUCUCCUUAAAGAAAUAAAAAAAUAAAACAA
Molecule: long non-coding RNA, 530 nt
Filed under: Danio rerio (zebrafish)
Lineage: Eukaryota; Metazoa; Chordata; Actinopteri; Cypriniformes; Danionidae
Description: si:ch211-161f1.3 (ENSDARG00000094299.2)
Source: RNAcentral